This 1351-nucleotide long non-coding RNA is filed under the name Pan troglodytes (chimpanzee). Its description in RNAcentral is "long non-coding RNA NONPTRT017859". Lineage: Eukaryota; Metazoa; Chordata; Mammalia; Primates; Hominidae. The record is from RNAcentral.
GAAGGGUGGGGGGAGGGGAGGCCAUGAUCACCGGGUGGAGGGUGGGAGUAGGUGGACAUGGGUUAGAAAGGUCGUGGGCCAGGCGGCCUCCUAGGCAGCUUCCUGAUGUUGGCCUUUUCCUAGAUGGAAGCCAGCCGUCGGGAGCACACACACCACAUUACAAGGAUCCCAGCCAGGCCCAGGAGGGGAAGCAAGGACACCCUAGAGCCAGAGAGAACUGGCAGGGUUUUUCAUGGGCCGAUCUGCUGAAUUCAGCCUAGGAGCUGAGGCCAACAUCUGAGUCUCUUCAGCAUACAAGUUUGAAAGAAGUCCUAGCAACUUCAAGCUCAGAACUACGGGUGGCAGCAGCUCCUUCUUGACGUCGAAGCCUCCCAUUCCAGAGAGAGUCAAGGCCCGGAUCAAAAAAAGCCCACAAGCACCGAUGACUGAGCUGCUGACUACCCCAGCAUCUCCAACUCAACCUCCUCUUUCUGCCUCUACCCAAAUUUUAAAACUUUUAAACAUGGGUUUAAAAAUGGUAAUGAGUAAAGUUGCAUCCAAGUGUAUCAAAUAAAAUUAAAUAUCCAUAAAUGCUGUAAUAAUUCCUGCUUUGAUGCUGAACUAAAGAAUUUUCUGCUGGGCGCGGUGGCUCAUGCCUGUAAUCCCAGCACUUUGGGAGGCCAAGGCAGGUGGAUCACGAGGUCAGGAGUUCAAGACCUGCCUGGCCAACGUGGUGAAACCCCAUCUCUACUAAAAAUACAAAAAUUAGCUGGGCAUGGUGGCAGGCAUCUGUAGUCCCAGCUACUCAGGAGGCUGAGGCAGAAGAAUCACUUGAACCCGGGAGACAGAGGUUGUAGUGAGCCAAGAUGGCACCACUGCACUCCAUCCUGGGCAACAAGCGAGAUUCCAUCUCAAAAGAAAAAAAAAAAGAAUUUUCUGUUUAUAUUACAUAUAGUCUCACUUCAUAUUUCAUUUCUCUCACCUCUGAUACCUGGAGUCCUUGGCUAGUACUGAAAUUGAGUAAAGUCAUUCUCAUGAGUUUUAGUAAAGUCAAAACUCAAAACUCAUGAAGUUGGCAAAACUCAAAGAAUGCUUUGGUCUAGUUUGACAUUGGCCAGUAUGUUUUUCAUAUCCAGUCAUUCCUUUUUUCCUGGCUGACAUCCUCACUUCCUGCCUGUGGAGGAAAAGUUAAAUAUUAAAUUUGAACUCAAUUGAAUGUGGACACAAACAAUGGUCACCAAGUCCGGGAACAGGUUGUGUGAGUCCCUUGAGGCAUUUAUCCUGCCCUGUUUCGGAGAAAUCUCUAUUUCAAACUAUUCCUAUGUGUUACUUACUGAAAAACAACAGACAAUCACAAAAACAAGUUGACCUU